Molecule: ribosomal RNA, 261 nt
Filed under: uncultured archaeon
Lineage: Archaea
Description: partial 16S ribosomal RNA
Rfam family: Archaeal small subunit ribosomal RNA
Source: RNAcentral
CAGCCGUAAACGAUGUGCGUUAGGUGUGUCGGUAACCACGCGUUACUGAUGCGCCGAAGAGAAAUCGUGAAACGCACCACCUGGGAAGUACGGUCGCAAGGCUGAAACUUAAAGGAAUUGGCGGGGGAGCACCACAACAGGUGGAGCCUGCGGUUUAAUUGGAUUCAACGCCGGACAUCUCACCGGAUAAGACAGCUGAAUGAUUGUCAAUCUGAAGGUUUUACAUGACUAGCUGAGAGGUGGUGCAUGGCGUAGACGUCU